AUUGGCCUGGGAGGUCAAAGCAGACCUAGGAGACAGGACAGAGCAUAAGGAAGCCAGCCAGAGGCUCAGAGAGCUCCUGAAACUGAAUCUUUCAGAUACUCCUGGUCUUUCUUCUUGAUGCCCCACCUCCCCGCAGAGAAACUCCUCAACUCUUCUGAGCCCAAGAUCGUGCCCUUUAUUUUCGACCAACCCAUAACAUGAGAUGAUGGCUAUACGGCUAAAGGAUGUGCAUGGAACUACAGGGCACAGCACAAAGAAUUCCUUUUCCCAUUGGGAAAGUAAAUGGAAAAUAAUCGUAACGGAGGAGCAGGGUAGAGGAGCCGCGGGGAGGGACUGAAGACAAUCUCUCUGCACAAAUGUGACCCAGAGUCCCGGUGGGCAGGAGACUCUCGGCAGGGACAUGCGAAACCAUCAAAUAAAAUUGGAAGGAAUCGGAGCACGCGCCAGAUCUAGAACAGGGUGUCUGUGACCAAAGACGGUCAAGACGGAAGAAGCGAGCCCCAGACAGAAAACAGAAGGCUGGUUCCGUAAACCUUUUUUGAGGCGAAGCUACCUAGAGCAAGGUAGAGGGGAGAGGACAGGGAACAUUUUUUGCACGGCAGCUACCAAAACAAAUUUCAUUUCAUAUGUAUCUUCGGAGGGGAAGAAAGACUGCAGGACUUUUCAGAGGCUUUACUAUGCUUUGUGACACCCUAAGGUGCACGUAAGGGAGGGUGUGGAUUGAACAGACACCGCUUCUCACAUGCGUCUGUCUGUUUGGUGCCGUGGCGGAGACAUGCUGCACAUUUUAGGGCAUACUCUUUUAUUAAAUACCUGUGGCCUCUUGCAAGAGCAGGAAAGUUAAGCCAAGCAUGGUUGCCAGCAGUUGAGCAAUAAGCAAACAUUUUUUUCUCAAACACCUGCGUGUUAACCAGCAGUGACCCCACGAUCUCAACGUUUGGGUCCAACGGUGGGAAAGAUACAAAACCAGAAUCAGAGAAGUCACCAGAUCAUCACCUUUUCCAACCAUCCCCGGAAAUUCCCCCCCAAACUCCUAAAGCUCCGCCAAUUACAAUCCUUCUCUCCAGAAUUCCCUUUCCUCCCCCUGUGGAUGCUCAUUUUCUUAUCCACAGAGAAGGAAUCAGAGAGUUCAUCCCCACGGGAUUUUCUCCUGGAAUUUUUCCCAGUAACAUAGGGCGAAGGCAGUAAAGGGAGCUCCGUUGAGAGAGGCACGACAUACUUGUUAAGUGCUU
Molecule: long non-coding RNA, 1232 nt
Organism: Felis catus (domestic cat)
Lineage: Eukaryota; Metazoa; Chordata; Mammalia; Carnivora; Felidae
Exons: 3
Source: RefSeq, a predicted model, not a curated record